This is a long non-coding RNA of Vombatus ursinus (common wombat), 375 nucleotides long. RefSeq lists it as uncharacterized. Lineage: Eukaryota; Metazoa; Chordata; Mammalia; Diprotodontia; Vombatidae. The record is from RefSeq and is a predicted model, not a curated record. The transcript has 3 exons.
AAAGCUAGCAACAAACAAGACCUGAACUCGGGCCUUCUGACCCCAAGUCCAAAACUCUUUCUUUACACUACCAUUAUCCUGCCUCUCCAAGAAUGAUAACAUUUUCCUCUCUAAGAGGCUCAGGUUGUCUGCUGACAAACACCUCCUGUCUAAGAUGAAGACUUAAGUACUUCCAGCUGCUCCAAGUUCCUGAGUCUGAAUUUAGAACAACCACUACUACUGCUCAGGAUCCCUUUCUUCUGGGACUUGAAGAAUGCACAAGAGGUCACCUAGAGUCCUCUAAUCUCACUGGAGAUAUGCUGUACCUAUAGCUGGAACACAGGACAAAGUCAAGGAUGUCCAUCAAAUGGGGAAUGGCUCAACAAGCUGUGGUAC